Branchiostoma belcheri (Belcher's lancelet) is the source of this 344-nucleotide long non-coding RNA. RefSeq lists it as uncharacterized. The transcript is spliced from 3 exons. Lineage: Eukaryota; Metazoa; Chordata; Leptocardii; Amphioxiformes; Branchiostomatidae. The record is from RefSeq and is a predicted model, not a curated record.
CAGGUACUUGGAUAAGGAAGACGACUACGUGCCUUGGAAAGCAGCCUUGCGGGCCUUGCAUUACCUCCUAACUGUCAUGUCUAAAAGUCCAAGCUACAACUCACUAAAGGCAUACAUAUCAAGUAAAGUGGUCGUUGCCAUGAGAAGAUACAAAAUUCAAGAAGAUGUCAUCCGGAGGAGGCUACUACAUUCGGAGUUAUUUGAAGCUGCUUGUCGAUAUGGCGACGCUAAUGCAACAAAAAUUGCCACAGUACUGUUCCAAAAAUGGAGAACAAGACGACAGAGAAUAGACCCCGAUAUACGACAGUCCGUCCUACAACAAGGGAUAGCCUCGGGGAGCCAGG